UUUCUAAAAAUGUGUACACCUCCCAUCUUGUUCUUGGACAAUCAUCAUUUGCCUGGACACAUUCCAUUGGGUAAUCUGUGUGACUAUAAAUGCUAGGAUAUGUUCCUUACAAUCUUUAGAAUUGAACAAGUGAUUUGGAUAAACU
Long non-coding RNA from Nanorana parkeri, 145 nucleotides. RefSeq lists it as uncharacterized. NCBI's taxonomy places the organism in Eukaryota, Metazoa, Chordata, Amphibia, Anura, Dicroglossidae. The record is from RefSeq and is a predicted model, not a curated record. The transcript has 3 exons.